UCACGUGUGAAGCAAAUUUCUUUCAUCAUGGAAGCAAAUUCCCGGGUCUAGGAAGCAUAAUUCGCUACAUUCAAAACAAGCUAUGUUAGAAACAAAUUCUUCAGAUCCAAGCAAAUUUAAGUUGCAUCGGAAGCAAUUUGAAUAAUAUUUUCCCUUGUCAUUUUUUUUGUUUCCUAACGAAUCAAACUAAUUGCGCUAGAGUUAAGUUAAAAAAUCCAAAAUUAGUUCCUGAAAACCCUGAAGAGUUUAAUUUGGGAGUAGUUAAACAGAAAUUCUACGUAUUCACCUCUAUCAGAGCAACUUUUUUUUUUUUGAGAAGUGGAUAUUUCAUUGAUUUAAGGGAAAGCGGUUUAGAGAGUCAUUCAGAACAAACACAUCAUCUUCAGUUGGGAGUGGUACAUGCCCCAUCCAGAAGUUGUUAACAGCGUGAACUCUGGCUAGUUUGGCAAGCUCGCGAGCUGCCUGGAUUGCUCUCCCUACCAGUGUUACAAACUCUGAAGUUGCGCAAGACAGACUCCUAAAUAUGUGAUGCAAAGUUGUUAACAGCGUGCACAAAAAAACAUUGAAGAACCUGUCAAUCUGUGAGGACAACACUAUUAUUCAUGGUGUCACCAACUUUCCUCUCAUAAAUAUGAGACGUCUUCCAAGGAGCAGUCGCAUAGUAGAGGAAUGGAAGUGCACUGUGUGUUUUACCUUGCUGGUCUGCAUGUAACGGUAUGAUACGGUACCCGAGAAAUAUCAGGCAUAGGGAUGAGAGGCAAUGGAAAUAUGUGCAUGACAUCGAUGUUUCUUAAUUCUUGUCCACGAAAAUUCUAACGUUUCCCCUU
This 827-nucleotide long non-coding RNA is filed under the name Brachypodium distachyon (stiff brome). Its description in RNAcentral is "long non-coding RNA (BDIS_LNC002341)". The record is from RNAcentral. Lineage: Eukaryota; Viridiplantae; Streptophyta; Magnoliopsida; Poales; Poaceae.